AGCGUAGGCGGACUUUUAAGUGGGAUGUGAAAUACUCGGGCUCAACCUGAGUGCUGCAUUCCAAACUGGAAGUCUAGAGUGCAGGAGGGGAAAGUGGAAUUCCUAGUGUAGCGGUGAAAUGCGUAGAUAUUAGGAGGAACACCAGUGGCGAAAGCGGCUUUCUGGACGACAACUGACGCUGAGGCGCGAAAGCCAGGGGAGCAAACG
RNAcentral lists this ribosomal RNA (207 nucleotides) under uncultured bacterium. RNAcentral's name for it is "partial 16S ribosomal RNA". It matches the Rfam family "Bacterial small subunit ribosomal RNA", at positions 568 to 774 of the family's 1533-position model. The record is from RNAcentral.